AUUGAACGCUGGCGGCAUGCCUUACACAUGCAAGUCGAACGGCAGCACGGGUGCUUGCACCUGGUGGCGAGUGGCGAACGGGUGAGUAAUACAUCGGAACGUACCUUAUCGUGGGGGAUAACGCAGCGAAAAGCUGUGCUAAUACCGCAUACGCCCUGAGGGGGAAAGCGGGGGAUCGAAAGACCUCGCGCGAUUAGAGCGGCCGAUGCCUGAUUAGCUUGUUGGUGGGGGUAAAAAGCCCACCAAAGGCGACGAUCAGUAGCUGGUCUGAGAGGACGAUCAGCCACACUGGGACUGAGACACGGCCCAGACUCCUACGGGAGGCA
Molecule: ribosomal RNA, 326 nt
Filed under: uncultured bacterium
Lineage: Bacteria
Description: bacterial SSU rRNA
Rfam family: Bacterial small subunit ribosomal RNA
Source: RNAcentral